RNAcentral lists this long non-coding RNA (225 nucleotides) under Salvia miltiorrhiza (redroot sage). RNAcentral's name for it is "long non-coding RNA (SMIL_LNC014312)". The record is from RNAcentral. Lineage: Eukaryota; Viridiplantae; Streptophyta; Magnoliopsida; Lamiales; Lamiaceae.
AACAUACUAUCAAAAGAAAAGAUAUCAUUAACUUCAUCCUCGUUCAACCAUCAUCUCUAUACAUCUUUAUUUCCUCAAAGUAUUUCAUUCUCUAAUUCCAUCAUCGAAAAUAUAAUAGCUCAACCAUUAGAAAUCUCAUCUCAUCAAUAGCUUAUUUUUAUAUCUCAGUACUCUUAAAACACAAGGUACUUAUAAUAAGGAAAAAAAAAAUGCGGGGUGUUACAU